UCUCCGUUGGUGAACCAGCGGAGGGAUCAUUACAGGACUCGCAAGACUCCUACAACCCUGUGAACUUAACUAUAAGCACGUUGCUUCGGCGGGUGUCUCGGAGGGGGUUCUCCCUCCCCGAGACGCUAAACCCGCCGGCAGCCUACUAUACUCUGUCUCUUUGCGUUGGCAUCUCGAGUACAAUCAAACAAGUUAAAACUUUCAACAACGGAUCUCUUGGUUCU
Molecule: unclassified non-coding RNA, 224 nt
Filed under: plant metagenome
Description: partial contains small subunit ribosomal RNA, internal transcribed spacer 1, and 5.8S ribosomal RNA
Source: RNAcentral